UUAAAAAAACCCUUUUUCCCUUUUUUUUUUAAAUUAAAUUGGGGGGGGAAACCGGGAAAAAAACCCCCCCGGGGGGGUUAAUUUUUCCCUUAACCCCCCGGAAAUUUGGAACGGGGUACCCCAAUAGGGAAAAUAAGCCCACCCGGGCCUAAACCCUUUCCGUGCCAGCAGCCGCGGUAAUACGGAGGGUGCAAGCGUUAUCCGGAUUCACUGGGUUUAAAGGGUGCGUAGGAGGGCAGGUAAGUCAGUGGUGAAAUCUUCGAGCUUAACUCGGAAACUGCCGUUGAUACUAUCUGUCUUGAAUACCGUGGAGGUGAGCGGAAUAUGUCAUGUAGCGGUGAAAUGCUUAGAUAUGACAUAGAACACCGAUUGCGAAGGCAGCUCACUACACGAAUAUUGACUCUGAGGCACGAAAGCGUGGGGAUCAAACAGGAUUAGAUACCCUGGUAGUCCACGCCCUAAACUAUGGAUACUCGACAUACGCGAUACACUGUGUGUGUCUGAGCGAAAGCAUUAAGUAUCCCACCUGGGAAGUACGACCGCAAGGUUGAAACUCAAAGGAAUUG
Molecule: ribosomal RNA, 566 nt
Filed under: uncultured Bacteroidota bacterium
Lineage: Bacteria; Pseudomonadati; Bacteroidota
Description: uncultured Bacteroidetes bacterium partial 16S ribosomal RNA
Rfam family: Bacterial small subunit ribosomal RNA
Source: RNAcentral